ACUGGCGGUGUAGUAUUGAGUUUUUACCCGGAGCGUCAAUCGAAGAGAGUGAGGUUAGGUGCGGACAACGAAGAUGGAAACAACAAUAGCAAUUCAAACAUGAACUGUAUAGUGCCGGGCUGCAUGAAUUGGCUCCAAAAAAAUCCCUUGGUAAACGACCAUAGGCUGCACUUUUGAAGAAGUUGCUCCAUGUCCUGAAGAGGAAGGACAUGCCAGCUCGAGCUAGCAGGAUCUACAGACAGCACUUCGCGGAGGCAGACUUCGCGAUGAAGGGCACUCUCAAUGCGGCAACCAGGAGUUUCCGAAUGGAAAGGAGUCAUGGGCCUAUUUAAUGCCCUCUGCGGGGGCCUCCAUUUGACAUUUAGAGGGUUAUGGUGUAGGGGUUACCGACCGACCAUCAUCACUGACUUCGGAGUCAAGCAAAAGUGACUGAACGGAGGAGGUGAUGAUGACAUCUUCAUCCCUGAAUGUUUUCAUCCUGGAGGCAGAGGAGGAAAGAACAGCAUGCCAAACUGACAACUUGGUGCCAGAGUGUUCAUGUGCUGCAGUGGAGAAGAGGUCCACCACUAAAGAGCUCAGGGCCCGGCUAGACUGCGCUCACGACCAUCAGUAUACAACAGAGUCCUGCCCCUAUAGCAACAUUUCACCAAUUAUUUAACUGGCAUAUCGGCUGCUGACUAACUUCUUCUGACAGGAAGUCCUUCAUAAGGAUUAGUGACACGUCCAAUACAUCGCCAUCCAGACAGACUGACAGGAACCUCUGACUGGAUGUAAUACGAGAACGAACUCUGAUCUGGGGCAAUGAUCGGCUCAAACAUGAAUGGCUUCAGUAGGUUUAUUGGCUCCCUAACUAACAUUAUUUCAUUCUCUGUAAUAAACUCAUUCUCAGAGCUACUUGGUAAAUUCAGCCAUUUUUGGGAGUUUCAAAAUCUUCUCUCCUGCCAGUGAUGCAACAAUGCCAAUAUGGGGAUUUACAGUUAGCUGGAGUUCUAAAUCCUUUUUCCAUUCUCCUUUAUGUUCUCUCACCUCAGUCCGUAGAGCAGCCACCCAUCUCCACCUUCUGCCCUCCAGGUGUUGUUGUGCUGGUCUGUUUUGUGGGUUUGUUCUGUCUGGAUUGUGUGGACUAGCUCUCUGAGCUCCACCAUGUAUCUCUCCAGCUCUGUGAACGUAUCCCUCUCAGUGAUGGAGGAGCAGUGCAGUUGUGGGACCAGGGUGUGUUCAGUGCUGGAGGGGUGACUAUCCUCAUCUGCAGGACAGUUUGAAGAGGUGUGAUCAGACAGGAUGGGGGUGGGUCACAGAGAAAGCUUUUCCUGCUGUACGCUCUCUUUGAUCCCGUAAAAGUCCUGCUGGAACUGCUUGAGGAUGCCCUGUAGCAUCUCUCACCAUUGAAUACAAGCGGAUGAAGUCAACAACCCUCAUCGAAUAUUUAAAAAACAGAUUACAAUAAUGAGACGUAUCCACCAAUCCAUAGAAAGGAUAGGUGGGAGCUAGGCAGACUACUGUGUCGCUUUGUGGACAACGACUCACAUUGUUAGGGCGGCAAGACAUGCAUCUUGUUAAUAUAUCCAUAAUCUUUGCCUGCGUACACCCUGAAGGGUUGCGUUGUCAUCAGUAUCUCU
Oncorhynchus mykiss (rainbow trout) is the source of this 1619-nucleotide long non-coding RNA. RefSeq lists it as uncharacterized. The record is from RefSeq and is a predicted model, not a curated record. NCBI's taxonomy places the organism in Eukaryota, Metazoa, Chordata, Actinopteri, Salmoniformes, Salmonidae.